RNA transcript from Triticum aestivum (bread wheat), 2725 nucleotides. RefSeq lists it as uncharacterized. Lineage: Eukaryota; Viridiplantae; Streptophyta; Magnoliopsida; Poales; Poaceae. The transcript is spliced from 11 exons. The record is from RefSeq and is a predicted model, not a curated record.
CGCUGCACAGGUCUGUUCACUCGUCCGUGAUACAUCACGUCACGCAAUUUACUACGCAUUCACAUCAUUCCUCCUCACCCCUCAUCUACCUCCACCCACCUCGCUCUGCUUCUUCGCUGCGGAAGGGAAAUCCACCAGAGGGACCAAGGUGAGCAACAGCGCCCUCGUCGUCGAACUACUGGGCGGCGGCAAGGAUCACUCUCCUCUGCCGGGCCGGCAAGUGCCGGGGGCAGGCAAAGCGGAUAGGGGUAGAGAGGGAAGAUGACUGAUUUUUUUAGCGGGAUCCAAGCUGGUAUGGUUGUCAAUCGAUUAGAGAACAAUGAACAGUCGCCCGAAGAUUGGAACAGUGAUGGGGAUGGUUCAGGGGGCACAACUGGUUUGCUUGAAUCACCAUGUUUCACGUCCAGGCUUUCUGUGCUCAAAGUGGGUUCAGUCAUAAGCAAGUUUUCUGAAUUCAAGUGCCAAUUAGUCAGGGAAACUGGAUUCGAUGGAAUGCUUGAGAUAAAAUCAUGGCAGAAGAUCAACCUGAAAUACAACGCUUAUAUAAUGGAUAGAGUCGAUGUAGAUUCACGUAUAAUAAAUCUUGAGCGCCAAGGUGUUAUUGAACUAUGUGACAAGGACAUGAAUUAUGUGUUUGGCAUCCCAUGUGGCGAUUCAACCAUAGAAGGCGAGGGAGUUGAGCCGUCAGUAGCUUGCAUUGAGUAUACCCGUGCGGCAGCAUCAUUUAGUGAUAGAGGCACCCACAGCCUGAAAGCAGCAGAGGCAUACUUAAGCAGAUGCAUAGCAGAAUCAUCUACUCAAUUAGAGCAGGACUGCUUCAAAAUUGCUUUUGUUAUUUUUGUUGUUGGUCAUGUGUUGGCACCUACUGCGAAGCACGAUUAUAUAUUAAUUGAUUUCUGGGCUGCACUGAAUGAUAUCAGCAAGAUAAAGGAUUGGAAUUGGGGAGGAUACGCGUUGAAAAAUCUUUUUCAAGCUGUCAAAAAGUUCAAGGCAGAUGUUUUGAGGAGAAACCCAACCGUGCAUAUAGUUGGAUGUCAUCUGUUUCUGCAGCUUUUUGUGCUUGAUAGCCUCGAGCUGGGUGUUCUAAACAGGGCAAGAGGUGUAACCCCGCGUAUAGGCUUGUACGACUAUGAGUCGAUCAAGAAUAUGGUUGAGAAAAUUACAGUGAAUUCUGCCCCGGGCGAAGUUUCCUUUCACGGCGCACCGGUGCGGAGCGAGCUCUCCGUGAGAAACCUAAGUGUGUGUCGUCCGAAGGAAGUUUGUGCAACAAAUACACCAAAGCCCACGACAGCGCCCAAAAAGGCAAAUGCAACGUGCACACCAAUUCCACGGAAUAGCUAUGCCAAAACCGAUGCGCAAGAGUUUUCAAAUUAUAUACGAACACGCUACCCAAGCAUAUCAACGGAGAAACUCGGCGUACUUCUCCGUGAGCAGAAUGCCCGUGGGCUAGCAAAUAUUUCAGAAAUGCGUCAAGCCUUCCAGUCCAAUAUGUUCACUUUCACUGACAAGCUAAUGAUAUGCAUAGCAGAUAGCUGCACUUGUUGCAAGGCGCAUGGAAGCAAAAGGUGCAUCUUGAAGAGGGAAGACACCAACACCGACAAUGUACCUCCCAUGGCAUCAGUAGAUCAAACCCAAUUCAGCACGCCUUUAGUAAGCAAGAUUGGACCCCGAUUACCAGCACCAGGGAACCAUGAAGAUGGAGUACCUUUGAAGAUUGAUCUACCUCAAUGCAACUUUGGAAGAGACCCGUGGGUUGCUGGAUCAGUCCCAGCACCACCCAUUCCAACUGUUCUUAGGGCUAUAAGAGACUGGAUGACUGGAGCUUCCAUGCUAAACCUUGAGAGGAAAUGGAUCGUGCAUCCCAAACCAAGACUUAUAUCUCUAGAUGGUGUUGAAAUCCAUCGACAGCUUGUGCUAAAUGAUCCAAUGACCCAUGAGAUGGCCACAGCUAUUUUUCAUAGACUUGGUCAAAUUGAUAUGUUAUUCUCGAAGGACACUCCCAGACACAUAUGGAGGAAAUUUGUUGAACCAGACUUUGCGACAACUAUUUUGGCGAAUGCUGACCCACUGACGGUUCAAUCUAUUAGGACUAGUUUCCAAGAAGGAACUUCAUCUUGCAACCCAGCUUCAUGCCGGAUGUGGUACAUCUCGGCGAUCCUACCUGAUAGUUGGACAGUAUAUGCAUUUGAUAUGCUCAGAAAAAGGAUCAUCGUGCUAGACCCAGCCGUAGGGCCGUUUGGUUAUAGCAAUCGCCGAGUAAGCAUGCAUGAAUUUGUUAGCAACAAACUCCAUGCUGCUUUGUUCAACUGUCUGGAGAAAUUCUUUAGCUCAUGGCACUGUUAAUCAAGCCAUUGGGGGCGCACUUUUCCUAUCGUAAUGAGGGAAAAGAUUGAUAAGGAUCAGACUGGGCUGUGUGCCACAUUCUUUGCCUGGAACUACGACGGCGACAAACUACAGAUACCACUAAACAAGGACACGCUAUCAUCGCACAGCAGCUUGAUGAUAUAUGAACUAAUGAGGAUGCAAGGGAACCAAACUUCAGUGGCAAACGACGCCCUCGAAGCUGUCAAAGCGUCGUUCACAGCCCUAUAAAAUAGCACAUCGUUGAUCGGUCUGCUCAUGUAAUUUCGAUUACUUAUAAGCAGAACAAACUUGUAGACUAAUUUUCCCCAGUACUACGACGAUCACCGAGUGAUCCUAUCUAAUGCAUGCAAAUUCUUAGCCA